GUGAGGAAUAUUGGUCAAUGGGCGAGAGCCUGAACCAGCCAAGUAGCGUGAGGGAUGACUGCCCUAUGGGUUGUAAACCUCUUUUGCAGGGGGGUAAAGUGGUCCACGUGUGGAUCAUUGCAAGUACCCUGCGAAUAAGGAUCGGCUAACUCCGUGCCAGCAGCCGCGGUAAUACGGAGGAUCCGAGCGUUAUCCGGAUUUAUUGGGUUUAAAGGGAGCGUAGGCGGGGGUUUAAGUCAGCUGUGAAAUGCCGUGGCCCAACCAUGGAACUGCAGUUGAAACUGGACCUCUUGAGAGUACAUAAGGAAGGCGGAAUUCGUGGUGUAGCGGUGAAAUGCAUAGAUAUCACGAAGUACUCCGAUUGCGAAGGCAGCUUUCCGGGGUACAUCUGACGCUGAAGCUCGAAAGUGCGGGAAUCAAACAGGAUUAGAAACCCGAGUAGUCC
RNAcentral lists this ribosomal RNA (445 nucleotides) under uncultured bacterium. RNAcentral's name for it is "partial 16S ribosomal RNA". It matches the Rfam family "Bacterial small subunit ribosomal RNA", at positions 354 to 796 of the family's 1533-position model. The record is from RNAcentral.